Molecule: long non-coding RNA, 240 nt
Filed under: Ananas comosus (pineapple)
Lineage: Eukaryota; Viridiplantae; Streptophyta; Magnoliopsida; Poales; Bromeliaceae
Description: long non-coding RNA (ACOM_LNC030469)
Source: RNAcentral
AAAGGUCACUAUGCAAUCAUGAUCAGUAAUUUGGCUAACAAAUAAUAAGUUAAGAGAGAGUCGUGGUAUAUGUAGGACAGAGGGAAUAGUAAAGCGUCCUGAAGUAUCAGAUUUAGGUGAAACAACGCCACUAUUUUGACAGAAAGAGAGGUACCAUCAGCAGUAAAAAUGUGUGAAGGUGAAUUUAAUUAAGAAGGUGAAGAAAGUAAAGAAGCAUGUGGUGUCAUAUGAAAUGAUGCG